This is a long non-coding RNA of Passer domesticus (house sparrow), 3423 nucleotides long. RefSeq lists it as uncharacterized. NCBI's taxonomy places the organism in Eukaryota, Metazoa, Chordata, Aves, Passeriformes, Passeridae. The transcript is spliced from 7 exons. The record is from RefSeq and is a predicted model, not a curated record.
GCUUUAAUUGUGCAAACCCACGUGGCUGAUGAGAAGUACAAGGCUGGCUUUUUUGCUUGUUAGAAUUCUUAAACUAGUGCUUUGCUACAGCCUUUUUCUCUGGAAAUGCCUCAUGGCUGAAAUAUGCUGUGCCUGAAAUCCCCACGUUCCAAGUCCUUCUGGAAAUAGCUUUCCUGUAUGUAGGGCUUAAUUUGUAGCCAAGAGACAAAAGGAACACCUUGAAAUCACAUCAAAUUAGAUGACAGAGGACUGAUAGGGUGUGCAAAGAAUAAGUCUAAACCUUUCAGGAGAACUAUGGCAUAAAUUCCCAAGAAAGCAAGUACAUCCUUUUGUUUUCAGGAAUUUUGCCAGUGUUCCAGUUUUCAGGUCCCCCAGAAUGCCAUUCCUGUUAGUUAUGCUUUGCUCAGUCAUCACUGGGACAGUGAUGUGAACUUUGCUUCCAAUUACUCUAAUGAGAAACAAGGGCAGAACUGCCUCAGAAAAGAUUGUCCCAGUCAAACACCCCCAUGCAAAAUUGAGGGCUUUAGGUGAUAAUGAAGACAGCAGGGUUAAGGAGAGGUGUAAUGCUUCAGGUAAACAUUUUCAAGAUAAGACCAUUUCAUUUAUAAUAAGCUGAAAACAGACCUGUUAGGUCCAAGAUGCAGAGGUAAGGUGAGUUGUUUGCUUGGCCCGAUGUCCUGGUCUGGGACUGGAUCUUGGUUUUGUGUCUGUGUGGCCCUAUCUGGCUGGUUGCCAUCCCUUGUGGGAUAGGCCUUGCAGUGAGCAUUCCCAAAGGUUCAUGAGGUCUUCAGUGCAGUCAAAAAAUCCUUUCUUGGAGCUAAUGAUUCCCCAAAGUCCCACCCUGGUCAUCUGGGGGUGACUGGCAGCUCAGCCCCUUUCAUCUUUGACUUUUUUAACCCAACUUGCAGGGUCUGGCAGAACUUUAGAUCACUUUGCUUCUCGUUUGGCAUUAGCCCACUUGAAGUAGGAAAGUUUAUGCCUGGAAGCAGUUGGUUGAGAUCUGAAAGUAGAAAAUAUUAAUUCCAGGCAUGGAGAGCUUUUAAAAGAGCAGGAAUUUCAUGGAAAUAAAACUGUGUAGUCUAUUAAGUUCCUCUCAUGGACUUUUAUGAGGACAAUUAUUAAUAUUGUUGAAAACUAUACUCAUGAAACGUGUUAAUGGGAAUUGUGCUGGCUGCUGCCAGAAAAAUCUGCAAGCUUUACAGCUCAUUUGGAGACAGAAAUAUUCAGCAAAGUAGCCUACAGGGUGCAAAGGUUCGCGUGGUGCCGGCUUAGGCCAACUUAACAUACGCCCUCUGUAGCCCUGGUAUUGUCCAAAACCUAAUGCCCAUAAUGAAAGAGAGGAAAAUUGGACCCCAAGUGGCAAGGAUUGUAAGCCCUUGGAAUUCUCCUAAUCAGAGAUAUUCAGCUAUUUUUGGUUCAUAAUGUUUAGUCAAAUAGCAACAAUGAUUUUUCUUCUUUUUUUCAACUCAGCUGCACGGUGUGUUGGAGGGGGUCUCCAUGGCCUGUGACCUUGCCUUUAUCUGUCAGUCUGUCACCACUGGUCUUCAAAGUGCAGCUUAAAGGAUCUGAGGCUUCUGUGUGGCCUUGAUGUGAUCUGCUUUCCUGGUUGCACAUGUUCUUAAGGACAGUGCCCGUGCAUAAAGGCAGAGAAGGCACAAAGCCAGCAUUUGACAGCAGAAUGGUCUUCAAGCACUGACCUGGCUUGGGCAGCAAAUGCCAGAUAUUAAGCUGUGAUGAGGCAAAAAGUAGUAAGAGGAACUUCAGACUGAAAAGCAGGACUUCUACUUUUGACUUAGAUGGGAAGCUGGGAAAAUUUUUCAGCAAAGCUUCUUCCAUGUAAAAAGGCCAUUGAAGAGCAUUCUGGCUGAAAGCAUUUCCUCCAUCUGCCAUAAGAAGGUCCUGUUCAGCCACUGGACUGAGGGGUGCAGUGAGUACAUUAGUGAGCAGCAUUAAAGGUCAGUGUCAAUUUCCUUGUUAGACACCCAGCUUUGGCUCUCCAUGUGCUCCAGCACUUGACAGUGCAGUGGCAUUCUCUGAGCUGGAAGAGCACAGUAAUCAUCUCCACAACCUUCUGCUCACACAGAAAAGUUUCCUGUGCCUCGUCAUGUUUUUCAUUCCCAGGAAGUGAGAAGAGAGAAGGAAAUGGCUGGGAACCUCCAGGAACACGCUGAUAAGGAAAAUCCCACCACCUCUGUACUUCAGAGAUGCUGCAAUCAUGUCUUCUAAAACAGUGUUAAGUAAGAACUGGGGAGAAUUAUCCACAAGACACAGAAUUCUUGUAAACUUUUGCUAUCUAGCCACGUAGGGGGACAUUUUUUCUCUUCUGUUUAACUUGCCUGUUAUUUCCUCCUUCUGGCAUUUAUUAAACAGACUGGUUAACCAUUCAGUCCCAGCCUAAAAACAGAUCUCACCACAAAUCCUGUUCUCUGUGGUGGACUCAGGAAAGGCUCUGGCUGAACAAACUCACUUCUCCUGUCUUAACUCUGAAGGGCAGAGCUAAAUGCUGGAGAUAGAUGUUCACCAUAAAAUUCACACUACAGGUUUCCUGUUUGGAGCAGCCAGUAGUGCUAGGGACACUAGAGUUUCCAUUUGUACACCAUCUCUGUUUUGACAGGGCCCUUCAUGAUUCAUCAACAAUUUGGAUGCUUCUGGCUAUGCAGUAUUCACUGCACCCACCCCAUUCCUGAUAAACAGACUCAGGAGCUCUAAUCACAGGGGUAGUACACUCAAUAACCAUUGCUCCUUAAUUGUUUAUGAUCUUUAUCUCUUUCCCUCCAAGGGUUUUUUCCUGUGGGAGGACCAGUGUUUCUCUUUGAACUGACUUUUCCUUUCAACAUUUAUCAUUCAGGACUGCUCAAGUGCUGUUUCAGUGCAGAAGCCGCUUGCAAACUAUUUGUAGCAGCUGGCUUUUUGGAAGUUUGCUGUUUGCAGUGCUUGAUCCCUCACUUAAACUAGCCAACACUGUCUUUCCAUCUGUGCACGAGACCCCUGCACCACACAGCAUGCUUCUGGGGAGCUGUAUGCAUCUGGCCUGCUGCCUCUACUUGUUUUUUCUGACCCCGGGGGAGUAUUUCAGCGUGCUGCAGGACCCCUGAGCAGUGCCUAAGGAGAGGUGAACCACAGCCAGUUGUGAUGUUUGGGUUAGGGGCUGAUACUGGCUCCAGUGGGACUGUCUGACCCCUAGGACUGGCCCUUCUGCCUGGGAGUUCUUCACAGAAAGGCUCAGAGCACUUAGAACAGGAACAUGUGUUUGGGAUAGAGGAACAAGUGAAAAAUAGCAUGAGGCAGAAAGGAAAGCUACAGAUCAUUUCCAUCAGCAGAGCUGUCGUGUCCCAUGGCUUAUGUGUGUUCUCUUGUAAUAUGGGAAUAAUUACUCUAUGGCUGUCUCCAGUUGUGUCUGAUUAUUAAAAUCAAUAAUGCAUA